UGGGGAAUAUUGCGCAAUGGCCGCAAGGCUGACGCAGCGACGCCGCGUGUGGGAUGAAGGCUCUCGGGUUGUAAACCACUGUCAGGAGGGACGAAACAAAUGACGGUACCUCCAAAGGAAGCGCCGGCUAACUCCGUGCCAGCAGCCGCGGUAACACGGAGGGCGCGAGCGUUGUUCGGAUUUACUGGGCGUAAAGCGCGCGUAGGCGGUUUGGUAAGUCGUCUGUGAAAGCCCGGGGCUCAACUCCGGGACGCCAGGCGAUACUGCCUAACUAGAGCACGGUAGAGGCAAGUGGAAUUCCCGGUGUAGCGGUGGAAUGCGUAGAUAUCGGGAAGAACACCAGUGGCGAAGGCGGCUUGCUGGGCCGUUGCUGACGCUGAGGUGCGAAAGCGUGGGGAGCAAACAGGAUUAGAUACCCGUGUAGUCC
RNAcentral lists this ribosomal RNA (427 nucleotides) under uncultured prokaryote. RNAcentral describes it as "bacterial SSU rRNA". It matches the Rfam family "Bacterial small subunit ribosomal RNA", at positions 355 to 796 of the family's 1533-position model. The record is from RNAcentral.